AUUGAACGCUGGCGGCAGGCCUAACACAUGCAAGUCGAGCGGAUGAAGGGAGCUUGCUCCUGGAUUCAGCGGCGGACGGGUGAGUAAUGCCUAGGAAUCUGCCUGGUAGUGGGGGAUAACGUCCGGAAACGGGCGCUAAUACCGCAUACGUCCUGAGGGAGAAAGUGGGGGAUCUUCGGACCUCACGCUAUCAGAUGAGCCUAGGUCGGAUUAGCUAGUUGGUGGGGUAGAGGCCUACCAAGGCGACGAUCCGUAACUGGUCUGAGAGGAUGAUCAGUCACACUGGAACUGAGACACGGUCCAGACUCCUACGGGAGGCAGCAGUGGGGAAUAUUGGACAAUGGGCGAAAGCCUGAUCCAGCCACGCCGCGUGUGUGAAGAAGGUCUUCGGAUUGUAAAGCACUUUAAGUUGGGAGGAAGGGCAGUAAGUUAAUACCUUGCUGUUUUGACGUUACCAACAGAAUAAGCACCGGCUAACUUCGUG
RNAcentral lists this ribosomal RNA (484 nucleotides) under uncultured bacterium. Its description in RNAcentral is "partial 16S ribosomal RNA". It matches the Rfam family "Bacterial small subunit ribosomal RNA", at positions 30 to 507 of the family's 1533-position model. The record is from RNAcentral.